AGUUGCCAACAGAUAAUGCUGUGCACUCUAAACAGACUGCCGUGGAUAACACGGAGGAAGGUGGGGAUGACGUCAAAUCAUCAUGCCCCUUAUGAUCUGGGCUACACACGUGCUACAAUGGUCGGUACAACGGGCAGCGAAAGAGUAAUCUGGAGCGAAUCCUAAAAAGCCGAUCCCAGUUCGGAUUGUGGGCUGAAACUCGCCCACAUGAAGUUGGAGUUGCUAGUAAUCGCGGAUCAGCAUGCCGCGGUGAAUACGUUCCCGGGCCUU
This 270-nucleotide ribosomal RNA is filed under the name uncultured Fusibacter sp. RNAcentral describes it as "partial 16S ribosomal RNA". It matches the Rfam family "Bacterial small subunit ribosomal RNA", at positions 1113 to 1382 of the family's 1533-position model. Lineage: Bacteria; Bacillati; Bacillota; Clostridia; Eubacteriales; Fusibacteraceae. The record is from RNAcentral.